RNAcentral lists this ribosomal RNA (588 nucleotides) under uncultured bacterium. Its description in RNAcentral is "bacterial SSU rRNA". It matches the Rfam family "Bacterial small subunit ribosomal RNA", at positions 337 to 917 of the family's 1533-position model. The record is from RNAcentral.
UCCUACGGGAGGCAGCAGUGGGGAAUAUUGCACAAUGGGGGAAACCCUGAUGCAGCCAUGCCGCGUGUGUGAAGAAGGCCUUCGGGUUGUAAAGCACUUUCAGUAGGGAGGAAGGUAGUGUAGUUAACACCUGCAUUAUUUGACGUUACCUACAGAAGAAGCACCGGCUAACUCCGUGCCAGCAACCGCGGUAAUACGGAGGGUGCGAGCGUUAAUCGGAAUUACUGGGCGUAAAGCGCAUGCAGGCGGCCUGUUAAGUCAGAUGUGAAAGCCCGGGGCUUAACCUCGGAAUUGCAUUUGAAACUGGCAGGCUAGAGUCUUGUAGAGGGGGGUAGAAUUUCAGGUGUAGCGGUGAAAUGCGUAGAGAUCUGAAGGAAUACCAGUGGCGAAGGCGGCCCCCUGGACAAAGACUGACGCUCAGAUGCGAAAGCGUGGGGAGCAAACAGGAUUAGAUACCCUGGUAGUCCACGCCGUAAACGAUGUCUACUUGGAGGUUGUGGCCUUGAGCCGUGGCUUUCGGAGCUAACGCGUUAAGUAGACCGCCUGGGGAGUACGGUCGCAAGAUUAAAACUCAAAUGAAUUGACGGA